AAAAAGUUUUGAACUUCUUUUAUUGCCCCUAUACUAUUUGAGCACCAAAACUUAUUGAAGGGUAUUUGUGACUUUUACUUCAAAUUUGAAAAAAUCAUACUUUAAAUUUCAAAAUUUAGGCCUCCGCUCGCUCUCCUCUCUCACGCGCCUUUCUAUUUUAUCUCUCUCCUUGCCGUCCCUUAUCCUUUCUCACCUGAUCUCUCUCGCCUUGCCCUCCCCAGCCCUCUCUCGCUUGAUCAGAAAAAAUGCUAAAAUGCUAGGAAAAAAUGGAAGUGCUUUUCUGCACAUUUUUUUUUUUUACAGAUAGACACCUUAGUUGUUACCUCAAGAAAACCCUAAUUUUCACCUUCAUGUGAUCCCAGCUAUGGAGAUCUCCGAUCGCACGAGACUUGAAUAAUUAGGAUCAAGAAUUGGGAGAUUCAUAGCUUACUCUGCGUAUUUUGAAUGGGGAACUGUAUGGGGCAGUGAGUGUAGAGCCUCUGGUUUGAAGUGUGGUGGUGAAGAUAUUUGGUUUCAAAGCCAUUAAGUAGAAGGCGUGAGAGCUUCUUGCUCAUGUAUUUUCAAGGCCAAAAAAUAUUCUUGAUAGAGACAGAGAGAGAUGUAACAAAGUUGUAAUCAUAUAAUUCGAAUUUGAAUUUUAUGCAAGCAAUGCUAAGGGAGAUAUCACUUACUCUCUCUCUCUCUUAACUUUUAAAACAAUUAAUGUAUUUUAUCUUGUGCCUACAUUAAUAAAGUUUUUCUUAUUCAAUGGGAAGUUGUGUUU
Long non-coding RNA from Amborella trichopoda, 763 nucleotides. RefSeq lists it as uncharacterized. NCBI's taxonomy places the organism in Eukaryota, Viridiplantae, Streptophyta, Magnoliopsida, Amborellales, Amborellaceae. The record is from RefSeq and is a predicted model, not a curated record.